AUUAGUAUCAUGUCGUAGACCCGAAACCAUGUGACCUACCCAUGAGCAGGUUGAAGGUGAGGUAAAACUCACUGGAGGACCGAACCAGGGCACGUUGAAAAGUGCUUGGAUGACUUGUGGGUAGCGGAGAAAUUCCAAACGAACUUGGAGAUAGCUGGUUCUCUCCGAAAUAGCUUUAGGGCUAGCGUCGAUGUUAAGUCUCUUGGAGGUAGAGCACUGUUUGGGUGAGGGGUCCAUCCCGGAUUACCAAUCUCAGAUAAACUCCGAAUGCCAACGAGAUAUAAUCGGCAGUCAGACUGCGAGUGCUAAGAUCCGUAGUCGAAAGGGAAACAGCCCAGACCACCAGCUAAGGUCCCAAAAUAUAUGUUAAGUGGAAAAGGAUGUGGGGUUGCACAGACAACUAGGAUGUUAGCUUAGAAGCAGCUAUUCAUUCAAAGAGUGCGUAAUAGCUCACUAGUCGAGUGACCCUGCGCCGAAAAUGUACCGGGGCUAAAACAUAUUACCGAAGCUGUGGAUACCUUUAUAGGUAUGGUAGGAGAGCGUUCUAUGUGCGAAGAAGGUGUACCGUGAGGAGUGCUGGAGCGCAUAGAAGUGAGAAUGCCGGUAUGAGUAGCGAAAGACAGGUGAGAAUCCUGUCCACCGUAAGACUAAGGUUUCCAGGGGAAGGCUCGUCCGCCCUGGGUUAGUCGGGACCUAAGGAGAGACCGAAAGGUGUAUCCGAUGGACAACAGGUUGAUAUUCCUGUACUAGAGUAUAUAGUGAUGGAGGGACGCAGUAGGCUAACUAAACCAGACGAUUGGAAGUGUCUGGCCAAGCAGUGAGGUGUGAUAUGAGUCAAAUGCUUAUAUCUAUAACAUUGAGCUGUGAUGGGGAGCGAAGUUUAGUAGCGAAGUUAGUGAUGUCACACUGCCGAGAAAAGCUUCUAGCGUUAAUUAUACUCUACCCGUACCGCAAACCGACACAGGUAGUCGAGGCGAGUAGCCUCAGGUGAGCGAGAGAACUCUCGUUAAGGAACUCGGCAAAAUGGCCCCGUAACUUCGGGAGAAGGGGCGCUGACUUAUGGUCAGCCGCAGUGAAUAGGCCCAAGCAACUGUUUAUCAAAAACACAGCUCUCUGCUAAAUCGUAAGAUGAUGUAUAGGGGGUGACGCCUGCCCGGUGCUGGAAGGUUAAGAGGAGUGCUUAGCGUAAGCGAAGGCAUGAAUUGAAGCCCCAGUAAACGGCGGCCGUAACUAUAACGGUCCUAAGGUAGCGAAAUUCCUUGUCGGGUAAGUUCCGACCCGCACGAAAGGCGUAAUGAUUUGGGCACUGUCUCAACGAGAGACUCGGUGAAAUUUUAGUACCUGUGAAGAUGCAGGUUACCCGCGACAGGACGGAAAGACCCCAUGGAGCUUUACUGCAGUUUGAUAUUGAGUAUCUGUACCACAUGUACAGGAUAGGUAGGAGCCUAUGACCUCGGGACGCCAGUUUCGAGUGAGGCGUUGUUGGGAUACUACCCUUGUGUUAUGGCUACUCUAACCCAGAUAGGUUAUCCCUAUCGGAGACAGUGUCUGACGGGCAGUUUGACUGGGGCGGUCGCCUCCUAAAAGGUAACGGAGGCGCCCAAAGGUUCCCUCAGAAUGGUUGGAAAUCAUUCGCAGAGUGUAAAGGUAUAAGGGAGCUUGACUGCGAGAGCUACAACUCGAGCAGGGACGAAAGUCGGGCUUAGUGAUCCGGUGGUUCCGCAUGGAAGGGCCAUCGCUCAACGGAUAAAAGCUACCCUGGGGAUAACAGGCUUAUCUCCCCCAAGAGUUCACAUCGACGGGGAGGUUUGGCACCUCGAUGUCGGCUCGUCGCAUCCUGGGGCUGUAGUCGGUCCCAAGGGUUGGGCUGUUCGCCCAUUAAAGCGGCACGCGAGCUGGGUUCAGAACGUCGUGAGACAGUUCGGUCCCUAUCCGUCGCGGGCGUAGGAAAUUUGAGAGGAUCUGCUCCUAGUACGAGAGGACCAGAGUGGACUUACCGCUGGUGUACCAGUUGUUCUGCCAAGAGCAUCGCUGGGUAGCUAUGUAGGGAAGGGAUAAACGCUGAAAGCAUCUAAGUGUGAAACCCACCUCAAGAUGAGAUUUCCCAUAACGCAAGUUAGU
This 2121-nucleotide ribosomal RNA is filed under the name human gut metagenome. Its description in RNAcentral is "bacterial LSU rRNA". It matches the Rfam family "Bacterial large subunit ribosomal RNA", at positions 695 to 2829 of the family's 2925-position model. The record is from RNAcentral.